RNAcentral lists this ribosomal RNA (253 nucleotides) under uncultured bacterium. Its description in RNAcentral is "partial 16S ribosomal RNA". It matches the Rfam family "Bacterial small subunit ribosomal RNA", at positions 524 to 776 of the family's 1533-position model. The record is from RNAcentral.
UACAGAGGUCCCAAGCGUUGUUCGGAUUCACUGGGCGUAAAGGGUGCGUAGGUGGCGGGGUAAGUUCGGUGUGAAAGCUUCGAGCUCAACUCGGAAAUGGCAUUGAAUACUAUCCUGCUUGAGGGUCGGAGGGGAGACUGGAAUUCUCGGUGUAGCAGUGAAAUGCGUAGAUAUCGAGAGGAACACCAGUGGCGAAGGCGAGUCUCUGGACGACUCCUGACACUGAGGAACGAAAGCUAGGGGAGCAAACAGG